This 259-nucleotide ribosomal RNA is filed under the name uncultured Ralstonia sp. RNAcentral describes it as "partial 16S ribosomal RNA". The record is from RNAcentral. Lineage: Bacteria; Pseudomonadati; Pseudomonadota; Betaproteobacteria; Burkholderiales; Burkholderiaceae.
UGNNACGGAAAAAGGGGGCCGACAUGCUAAGGAGAGGACUGCCGGGUUGACGAGAACCGNAGGGAAGGUGGGGGAUGGACAGGUGCGAAGUCCUCAUGGCCCUGUAUGGGUAGGGCGUUCGACNACGUNANACGAAUGGUGCAUACAGAGGGUUGCCCAAGCCGUCGAGGUGGAGACUAAAUCCCAGUAAANAUGCAUUNGUNAGGUCCGGAAUCGGUAGUUCUGGCGAAAACUACGAACUAACNUGAAAGGUUUGGGA